AACGAACGCUGGCGGCAUGCCUAACACAUGCAAGUCGAACGAGAUCUUCGGAUCUAGUGGCGCACGGGUGCGUAACGCGUGGGAAUCUGCCCCUUGCUUCGGAAUAACAGUGAGAAAUUACUGCUAAUACCGGAUGAUGUCUCCGGACCAAAGAUUUAUCGGCAAGGGAUGAGCCCGCGUAGGAUUAGGUAGUUGGUGGGGUAAUGGCCUACCAAGCCGACGAUCCUUAGCUGGUCUGAGAGGAUGAUCAGCCACACUGGGACUGAGACACGGCCCAGACUCCUACGGGAGGCAGCAGUGGGGAAUAUUAGACAAUGGGCGAAAGCCUGAUCCAGCAAUGCCGCGUGAGUGAUGAAGGCCUUAGGGUUGUAAAGCUCUUUUACCAGGGAUGAUAAUGACAGUACCUGGAGAAUAAGCUCCGGCUAACUCCGUG
RNAcentral lists this ribosomal RNA (433 nucleotides) under uncultured bacterium. RNAcentral's name for it is "partial 16S ribosomal RNA". It matches the Rfam family "Bacterial small subunit ribosomal RNA", at positions 29 to 507 of the family's 1533-position model. The record is from RNAcentral.